RNAcentral lists this ribosomal RNA (468 nucleotides) under uncultured bacterium. RNAcentral describes it as "partial 16S ribosomal RNA". It matches the Rfam family "Bacterial small subunit ribosomal RNA", at positions 28 to 507 of the family's 1533-position model. The record is from RNAcentral.
GACGAACGCUGGCGGCGUGCUUAACACAUGCAAGUCGAACGGAAAGGCCCUGCUUUUGUGGGGUGCUCGAGUGGCGAACGGGUGAGUAACACGUGAGUAACCUGCCCUUGACUUUGGGAUAACUUCAGGAAACUGGGGCUAAUACCGGAUAGGAGCUCCUGCUGCAUGGUGGGGGUUGGAAAGUUUCGGCGGUUGGGGAUGGACUCGCGGCUUAUCAGCUUGUUGGUGGGGUAGUGGCUUACCAAGGCUUUGACGGGUAGCCGGCCUGAGAGGGUGACCGGCCACAUUGGGACUGAGAUACGGCCCAGACUCCUACGGGAGGCAGCAGUGGGGAAUAUUGCACAAUGGGCGGAAGCCUGAUGCAGCAACGCCGCGUGCGGGACGACGGCCUUCGGGGUGUAAACCGCUUUCGCCUGUGACGAAGCGUGAGUGACGGUAAUGGGUAAAGAAGCACCGGCUAACUACGUG